GAUGGGGAACGAAAGGUACACUGGGUCUCUUGGCAGAAAAUGUGCACCUCCAAGCGAGACGGAGGAAUGGGCUUUCGUGAUCCGGUUGCAUUCAACCAAGCCCUGCUGGCAAAACAAGCAUGGCGUGUGCUGCAAUGUCCGGGGUCUUUGGUAGCGAGAGUGCUGAAAGCUCGCUAUUUCAAGGACGAGACCAUACUGAGUGCGACGUGCCCGUCGACAGCCUCGUAUACUUAUCGAAGUAUUUUGCACGGGAGGGACCUUCUUCGAGAAGGGCUGGUUUGGCGAAUCGAGGAUGGCUCAAAGGUUAAUAUACACCACAGUAAUUGGAUCCUGAGGAGUGGCUCAAUGAAACUGCUUGGUCAGAUAUAUAUGCCUAGAGUAACACGAGUCGCUGACCUUCUUUAG
This 405-nucleotide ribosomal RNA is filed under the name Triticum aestivum (bread wheat). Its description in RNAcentral is "partial small subunit ribosomal RNA". Lineage: Eukaryota; Viridiplantae; Streptophyta; Magnoliopsida; Poales; Poaceae. The record is from RNAcentral.